This 240-nucleotide unclassified non-coding RNA is filed under the name soil metagenome. Its description in RNAcentral is "partial contains 5.8S ribosomal RNA, internal transcribed spacer 2, and large subunit ribosomal RNA". The record is from RNAcentral.
AACGCACGAGACCUGCGGACCUGCGGAGGGAUCAUUAAUGAGAAGCUGCCCCUCGUGGGUAGACCUCCCACCCUCUGUGAACUUACCUUUGUUGCUUUGGCAGGCCCGUCCUCUGGACCGCCGGCUUCGGCUGGCCCGUGCCUGCCAGAGGAUUCCAAACCCUGUCUGUCAGUGUUGUCUGAGACUAUAUGAAAUCGUUAAAACUUUCAACAACGGAUCUCUAGAUCGGAAGAGCACACG